GACGAACGCUGGCGGCGUGCUUAACACAUGCAAGUCGAACGAUGACGACCGAGCUUGCUCGGUCUGAUUAGUGGCGAACGGGUGAGUAACACGUGAGCAACCUGCCCUUCACUCUGGGAUAACCUCGGGAAAUCGGGGCUAUUACCGGAUAUGAGCUCCUGUCGCAUGGCGGGUGUUGGAAAGUUUUUCGGUGAAGGAUGGGCUCGCGGCCUAUCAGUUUGUUGGUGAAGUAGUGGCUCACCAAGGCGAUGACGGGUAGCCGGCCUGAGAGGGCGACCGGCCACACUGGGACUGAGACACGGCCCAGACUCCUACGGGAGGCAGCAGUGGGGAAUAUUGCACAAUGGGCGAAAGCCUGAUGCAGCGACGCCGCGUGAGGGAUGACGGCCUUCGGGUUGUAAACCUCUUUCAGCAGGGAAGAAGCGAAAGUGACGGUACCUGCAGAAGAAGCGCCGGCUAACUACGUG
RNAcentral lists this ribosomal RNA (467 nucleotides) under uncultured bacterium. RNAcentral's name for it is "partial 16S ribosomal RNA". It matches the Rfam family "Bacterial small subunit ribosomal RNA", at positions 28 to 507 of the family's 1533-position model. The record is from RNAcentral.